UACGUAGGGUGCAAGCGUUGUCCGGAAUUAUUGGGCGUAAAGAGCUCGUAGGCGGUCUGUCGCGUCUGCUGUGAAAACCCACAGCUCAACUGUGGGCUUGCGGUCGAUACGGGCAGGCUAGAGUUCGGUAGGGGAGACUGGAAUUCCUGGUGUAGCGGUGAAAUGCGCAGAUAUCAGGAGGAACACCGGUGGCGAAGGCGGGUCUCUGGGCCGAUACUGACGCUGAGGAGCGAAAGCGUGGGGAGCGAACAGG
RNAcentral lists this ribosomal RNA (253 nucleotides) under uncultured bacterium. RNAcentral's name for it is "partial 16S ribosomal RNA". It matches the Rfam family "Bacterial small subunit ribosomal RNA", at positions 524 to 776 of the family's 1533-position model. The record is from RNAcentral.